UACGGAGGGUGCAAACGUUGCUCGGAAUCAUUGGGCGUAAAGCGCACGUAGGCGGUCCAGUAAGUCGGGUGUGAAAGCCCUCGGCUUAACCGAGGAAGUGCAUUCGAAACUGCUGGACUUGAAUACUGGAGAGGAUCGCGGAAUUCCCGGUGUAGAGGUGAAAUUCGUAGAUAUCGGGAGGAACACCAGUGGCGAAGGCGGCGAUCUGGACAGAUAUUGACGCUGAGGUGCGAAAGCGUGGGGAGCAAACAGG
Molecule: ribosomal RNA, 253 nt
Filed under: uncultured bacterium
Lineage: Bacteria
Description: partial 16S ribosomal RNA
Rfam family: Bacterial small subunit ribosomal RNA
Source: RNAcentral